AGCAACCAAACCACAAAACACU
RNAcentral lists this small nuclear RNA (22 nucleotides) under Arabidopsis thaliana (thale cress). RNAcentral describes it as "snRNA_01008". Lineage: Eukaryota; Viridiplantae; Streptophyta; Magnoliopsida; Brassicales; Brassicaceae. The record is from RNAcentral.